CCUACGGGUGGCUGCAGUGGGGAAUAUUGGACAAUGGGCGAAAGCCUGAUCCAGCCAUGCCGCGUGUGUGAAGAAGGCCUUCGGGUUGUAAAGCACUUUCAGUGGGGAAGAAAGCCUUGGGGCUAAUACCCUCGAGGAAGGACAUCACCCACAGAAGAAGCACCGGCUAACUCCGUGCCAGCAGCCGCGGUAAUACGGAGGGUGCGAGCGUUAAUCGGAAUUACUGGGCGUAAAGCGCGCGUAGGCGGUCUGAUAAGCCGGUUGUGAAAGCCCCGGGCUCAACCUGGGAACGGCAUCCGGAACUGUCAGGCUAGAGUGCAGGAGAGGAAGGUAGAAUUCCCGGUGUAGCAGUGAAAUGCGUAGAGAUCGGGAGGAAUACCAGUGGCGAAGGCGGCCUUCUGGACUGACACUGACGCUGAGGUGCGAAAGCGUGGGUAGCGAACAGGAUUAGAUACCCUAGUAGUC
RNAcentral lists this ribosomal RNA (465 nucleotides) under Vreelandella stevensii. RNAcentral describes it as "partial 16S ribosomal RNA". It matches the Rfam family "Bacterial small subunit ribosomal RNA", at positions 338 to 795 of the family's 1533-position model. The record is from RNAcentral. Lineage: Bacteria; Pseudomonadati; Pseudomonadota; Gammaproteobacteria; Oceanospirillales; Halomonadaceae.